This 492-nucleotide ribosomal RNA is filed under the name uncultured bacterium. Its description in RNAcentral is "partial 16S ribosomal RNA". It matches the Rfam family "Bacterial small subunit ribosomal RNA", at positions 29 to 507 of the family's 1533-position model. The record is from RNAcentral.
AGUGAACGCUGGCGGUAGGCCUAACACAUGCAAGUCGAACGGCAGCACAGUAAGAGCUUGCUCUUACGGGUGGCGAGUGGCGGACGGGUGAGGAAUACAUCGGAAUCUACUUUUUCGUGGGGGAUAACGUAGGGAAACUUACGCUAAUACCGCAUACGACCUACGGGUGAAAGCAGGGGAUCUUCGGACCUUGCGCGAUUGAAUGAGCCGAUGUCGGAUUGGCUAGUUGGCGGGGUAGAGGCCCACCAAGGCGACGAUCCGUAGCUGGUCUGAGAGGAUGAUCAGCCACACUGGAACUGAGACACGGUCCAGACUCCUACGGGAGGCAGCAGUGGGGAAUAUUGGACAAUGGGCGCAAGCCUGAUCCAGCCAUACCGCGUGGGUGAAGAAGGCCUUCGGGUUGUAAAGCCCUUUUGUUGGGAAAGAAAAGCAGCAGGUUAAUACCCCGCUGUUCUGACGGUACCCAAAGAGUAAGCACCGGCUAACUUCGUG